Molecule: ribosomal RNA, 458 nt
Filed under: uncultured bacterium
Lineage: Bacteria
Description: bacterial SSU rRNA
Rfam family: Bacterial small subunit ribosomal RNA
Source: RNAcentral
GAUGAACGCUAGCGGCAGGCUUAACACAUGCAAGUCGAACGGUAACAGGGACUAGCUUGCUAGUCUGCUGACGAGUGGCGACGGGUGAGUAAUGCGUAAGAAUCUGCCCUUUAGCGGGGGACAACUUGAGGAAACUUGAGCUAAUACCGCAUAAUACCUACGGGUUAAAGGAGGCUUCGGCUUUCGCUAGAGGAUGAGCUUACGUCAGAUUAGCUAGUUGGUGGGGUAAAGGCCUACCAAGGCGACGAUCUUUAGCUGGUCUGAGAGGAUGAUCAGCCACACUGGGACUGAGACACGGCCCAGACUCCUACGGGAGGCAGCAGUGGGGAAUAUUGGACAAUGGAGGCAACUCUGAUCCAGCAAUGCCGCGUGUGUGAUGAAGGCCCUAGGGUUGUAAAGCACUUUCAACGGUGAAGAUGAUGACGGUAGCCGUAGAAGAAGCCCCGGCUAACUUCGUG